This 1361-nucleotide ribosomal RNA is filed under the name uncultured bacterium. Its description in RNAcentral is "16S ribosomal RNA". It matches the Rfam family "Bacterial small subunit ribosomal RNA". The record is from RNAcentral.
AGAGUUUGAUCCUGGCUCAGGAUUAACGCUGGCGGCGUGCCUAAUACAUGCAAGUCGAACGGAAGUACCUUCGGGUACUUUAGUGGCGAACGGGUGAGUAAUACAUAGGUAACCUACCCUUAAGACGAGGAUAGCCAUUGGAAACGAUGGAUAAAACUGGAUAGGAUAUAGAGGAAGAAUCUUUUAUAUUUAAGAGAGAGAUCUGCUUAAGGAGGGGCCUGUGGCGCAUUAGCUAGUUGGUGGGGUAAGGGCCUACCAAGGCGAUGAUGCGUAGCCGGACUGAGAGGUUGAACGGCCACAAUGGAACUGAGAACGGUCCAUACUCCUACGGGAGGCAGCAGUAGGGAAUUUUCGGCAAUGGGGGGAACCCUGACCGAGCAACGCCGCGUGAACGAAGAAGUUAUUCGUAAUGUAAAGUUCUUUUAUCAGGGAAGAAAGAGGAAUUUGACGGUACCUGAGGAAUAAGCUCCGGCUAACUACGUGCCAGCAGCCGCGGUAAUACGUAGGGAGCGAGCGUUAUCCGGAAUUAUUGGGCGUAAAGGGUGCGUAGAUGGCAUAGUAAGUCUUUUGUAAAAAUGCUGGGCUCAACCCAGUAGGGCAAAAGAUACUGCAAAGCUAGAGUAUGACAGAGGCAAGUGGAACUACAUGUGUAGCGGUAAAAUGCGUAAAUAUAUGUAAGAACACCAGUGGCGAAGGCGGCUUGCUGGGUCGAUACUGACAUUGAGGCACGAAAGCGUGGGGAGCAAACAGGAUUAGAUACCCUGGUAGUCCACGCCCUAAACGAUGAGUACUAAGUGUUGGUGAGAAUCAGUGCUGAAGUUAACGCUUUAAGUACUCCGCCUGAGUAGUACGUACGCAAGUAUGAAACUUAAAGGAAUUGACGGGAGCCCGCACAAGCGGUGGAGCAUGUUGUUUAAUUCGACGAUACGCGAAGAACCUUACCAGGUCUUGACAUAGCACGCGAAGGCGUAGAGAUACGUUGGAGGAUAGCGUGCAUACAGGUGGUGCAUGGUUGUCGUCAGCUCGUGUCGUGAAAUGUUGGGUUAAGUCCCGCAACGAGCGCAACCCUUAUUUCUAGUUACCAGCAGUAAGAUGGGGACUCUAGAGAGACUGCCAUUGAUAAAAUGGAGGAAGGUGGGGAUGACGUCAAAUCAUCAUGCCCUAUAUGACCUGGGCUACAAACGUGCUACAAUGGCUGAAACAAAGAGAAGCGAGCCCGCGAGGGGGAGCGAACCUCAAAAAAGCAGUCUCAGUUCGGAUUGAAGUCUGCAACUCGACUUCAUGAAGAUGGAAUCGCUAGUAAUCGCGAAUCAGAAUGUCGCGGUGAAUACGUUCUCGGGCUUUGCACUCACCGCCCGUCA